Long non-coding RNA from Oncorhynchus keta (chum salmon), 403 nucleotides. RefSeq lists it as uncharacterized. The record is from RefSeq and is a predicted model, not a curated record. Lineage: Eukaryota; Metazoa; Chordata; Actinopteri; Salmoniformes; Salmonidae. The transcript is spliced from 4 exons.
UACGGGGGUUGCUCUGAGGGACCUGCUGUCUUGUGUCUGUAUUGCUGCCAUCGGUGAUGCCUCAGAGGAUCCCCAGCCGUCCCCAUUGGCUGAUGCGUCUGUCCGUCAUGACGUCUCAUCAUGACUCAUCAUCAUCAGGGUGGGUGAGUCUCCAGGACAAGCCAGGAAAGUACAGAAGAAGCCAAAGAGCCCUCCCACUAACAGGUUCCAGAAGCCAAGUCAGGGUCAGAAUGCCUCUGUCCCAGGUCAGCUAAACCGACAGGGGAGCUGGUACAGAAAUACCCUGGAGGACAGAGUGAGGCGCUCAGACAGCCUGAAGAAUCAUAACUCCCUGAGCUAACUGGUUCCUCCCUCAGUCCCUCUAUGACCCCUCACUCCCUGACCUUUGAUCCUUGACCUCUGG